This 499-nucleotide ribosomal RNA is filed under the name uncultured bacterium. RNAcentral's name for it is "bacterial SSU rRNA". It matches the Rfam family "Bacterial small subunit ribosomal RNA", at positions 15 to 518 of the family's 1533-position model. The record is from RNAcentral.
GAUCAUGGCUCAGGAUGAACGCUGGCGGCGUGCCUAACACAUGCAAGUCGAGCGGAGAUAAAGAGAGAUUCUCGGAUACUAUCUUUAUCUUAGCGGCGGAUGGGUGAGUAACACGUGGGUAACCUGCCCUGCACAGGGGGAUAACAGCUGGAAACGGCUGUUAAUACCGCAUAUGCACACGCAGCCGCAUGGCAGUGGGUGGAAAGAUUUAUCGGUGCAGGGAUGGGCCCGCGUCGGAUUAACUAGUUGGCAGGGUAACGGCCUACCAAGGUGAUGAUCCGUAGCCGACCUGAGAGGGUGACCGGCCACAUUGGGACUGAGACACGGCCCAAACUCCUACGGGAGGCAGCAGUGGGGGAUAUUGCACAAUGGGCGGAAGCCCUGAUGCAGCGACGCCGCGUGAAGGAAGAAGUAUUUCGGUAUGUAAACUUCUAUCAGCGGGGAAGAAGAUGACGGUACCCGACUAAGAAGCCCCGGCUAACUACGUGCCAGCCGCGGC